RNAcentral lists this ribosomal RNA (522 nucleotides) under uncultured bacterium. RNAcentral's name for it is "partial 16S ribosomal RNA". It matches the Rfam family "Bacterial small subunit ribosomal RNA", at positions 28 to 523 of the family's 1533-position model. The record is from RNAcentral.
GACGAACGCUGGCGGCGUGCUUAACACAUGCAAGUCGAACGGACUAUUCUAUGGAAGCUUGCUUCCACUGAGAAGAUAGUGGCGAACGGGUGAGUAACACGUGGGUGACCUGCCCAUAAGAGGGGGAUAACAACCGGAAACGGGUGCUAAUACCGCAUAGUUUUCUUGAUCGCAUGAUCGAGAAAGGAAAGACGGCCUUUGCGCUGUCGCUUAUGGAUGGACCCGCGGCGUAUUAGUUAGUUGGUGGGGUAACGGCUCACCAAGACGAUGAUACGUAGCCGACCUGAGAGGGUGAUCGGCCACAUUGGGACUGAGACACGGCCCAAACUCCUACGGGAGGCAGCAGUAGGGAAUCUUCCGCAAUGGACGACAGUCUGACGGAGCAACGCCGCGUGAGUGAAGAAGGUUUUCGGAUCGUAAAACUCUGUUGUCAGAGAAGAACAAGUCGGAGAGUAACUGCUCCGGCCUUGACGGUAUCUGACCAGAAAGCCACGGCUAACUACGUGCCAGCAGCCGCCGUAA